UGGGACAAGGAUGGCGAUUCCAUCAAAAAAUAAGGGUGCUGGCAACCUGUGGCACCUUUGCCAAAGCAAGACGUUACCUGACCCGAUCGCUUGAGGAAGGCUGCCUUACAGCAGACCUGCAAUCGGAUGAUGGUGAGAUGGGGCCAAGGAAAAGACGACCAAACAAAAGGUAUUUGGAGGAGGACAGCGAGGAGGAGGCAGGACCAAGCCGUAGGGGGAGGAGGCCACCAUCUAUUGACGCCACUCAGCUGGACAGCGAGUGGCAAUUCCCCUCCCUUAAUGAAGACACCCAGCCAGGCCUGUUUCUUCACAGCCAGCCAUUAACUCAUGGUA
Long non-coding RNA from Neoarius graeffei (lesser salmon catfish), 333 nucleotides. RefSeq lists it as uncharacterized. Lineage: Eukaryota; Metazoa; Chordata; Actinopteri; Siluriformes; Ariidae. The record is from RefSeq and is a predicted model, not a curated record. The transcript is spliced from 4 exons.